RNAcentral lists this ribosomal RNA (392 nucleotides) under uncultured bacterium. Its description in RNAcentral is "bacterial SSU rRNA". It matches the Rfam family "Bacterial small subunit ribosomal RNA", at positions 28 to 421 of the family's 1533-position model. The record is from RNAcentral.
GACGAACGCUGGCGGCGUGCUUAACACAUGCAAGUCGAGCGGUAAGGCCCUUUCGGGGGUACACGAGCGGCGAACGGGUGAGUAACACGUGGGUGACCUGCCCUCAGCUCUGGGAUAAGCCUGGGAAACCGGGUCUAAUACCGGAUAUGACUCCAUGACGCAUGUUGUGGGGUGGAAAGCCUUGUGCGGCUGAGGAUGGGCCCGCGGCCUAUCAGCUUGUUGGUGGGGUGAUAGCCUACCAAGGCGACGACGGGUAGCCGGCCUGAGAGGGCGACCGGCCACACUGGGACUGAGACACGGCCCAGACUCCUACGGGAGGCAGCAGUGGGGAAUCUUGCGCAAUGGGCGAAAGCCUGACGCAGCGACGCCGCGUGAGGGAUGACGGCCUGUGU